GACGAACGCCGGCGGCGUGCUUAACACAUGCAAGUCGAACGGAAAGGCCCUGCUUUUGUGGGGUGCUCGAGUGGCGAACGGGUGAGUAACACGUGAGUAACCUGCCCUUGACUUUGGGAUAACUUCUGGAAACUGGGGCUAAUACCGGAUAGGAGCUCCUGCUGCAUGGUGGGGGUUGGAAAGUUUCGGCGGUUGGGGAUGGACUCGCGGCUUAUCAGCUUGUUGGUGGGGUAGUGGCUUACCAAGGCUUUGACGGGUAGCCGGCCUGAGAGGGUGACCGGCCACAUUGGGACUGAGAUACGGCCCAGACUCCUACGGGAGGCAGCAGUGGGGAAUAUUGCACAAUGGGCGGAAGCCUGAUGCAGCAACGCCGCGUGCGGGAUGACGGCCUUCGGGUUGUAAACCGCUUUCGCCUGUGACGAAGCGUGAGUGACGGUAAUGGGUAAAGAAGCACCGGCUAACUACGUG
This 468-nucleotide ribosomal RNA is filed under the name uncultured bacterium. Its description in RNAcentral is "partial 16S ribosomal RNA". It matches the Rfam family "Bacterial small subunit ribosomal RNA", at positions 28 to 507 of the family's 1533-position model. The record is from RNAcentral.